UUAGAGUUUGAUUAUGGCUCAGGAUGAACGCUGGCGGCGUGCCUAACACAUGCAAGUCGAGCGGGAAGCUGAUGAUUGAAACUUCGGUAGAUUGAUUCAGUGGAGAGCGGCGGACGGGUGAGUAACGCGUAGGCAACCUGCCCCUUACACAGGGAUAGCCACUGGAAACGGUGAUUAAAACCUGAUGAUACCAUGAAUUCACAUGUUUUUAUGGUCAAAGAUUUAUCGGUAAGGGAUGGGCCUGCGUCUGAUUAGCUAGUUGGUGAGGUAACGGCCCACCAAGGCAACGAUCAGUAGCCGACCUGAGAGGGUGAUCGGCCACAUUGGGACUGAGACACGGUCCAAACUCCUACGGGAGGCAGCAGUGGGGAAUAUUGCACAAUGGGCGAAAGCCUGAUGCAGCAACGCCGCGUGAAGGAUGAAGGCCUUCGGGUUGUAAACUUCUGUCCUUGGGGAAGAUAAUGACGGUACCCUUGGAGGAAGCCCCGGCUAACUACGUGCCAGCAGCCGCGGUAAUACGUAGGGGGCGAGCGUUAUCCGGAAUUAUUGGGCGUAAAGAGUGCGUAGGUGGUUACCUAAGCAGGGGGUGAAAGGCAUUGGCCUAACCAAUGUUAGCCCCCUGAACUGGGCUACUUGAGUGCAGGAGGGGAAAGUGGAAUUCCUAGUGUAGCGGUGAAAUGCGUAGAUAUUAGGAGGAACACCAGUGGCGAAGGCGACUUUCUGGACUGUUACUGACACUGAGGCACGAAAGUGUGGGGAGCAAACAGGAUUAGAUACCCUGGUAGUCCACACCGUAAACGAUGAGCACUAGUUGUUGGGUCCGAAUGGAUUCAGUGACGCAGUUAACGCAAUAAGUGCUCCGCCUGGGGAGUACGUUCGCAAGAAUAAAACUCAAAGGAAUUGACGGGGACCCGCACAAGCAGUGGAUUAUGUGGUUUAAUUCGAAGCAACGCGAAGAACCUUACCAGCACUUGACAUCCAACUAACGAAGUAGAGAUACAUUAGGUGCCCCUCGGGGAAAGUUGAGACAGGUGGUGCAUGGUUGUCGUCAGCUCGUGUCGUGAGAUGUUGGGUUAAGUCCCGCCACGAGCGCAACCCUUGCCAUUAGUUGCUACGCAAGAGCACUCUAAUGGGACCGCUACCGAUAAGGUGGAGGAAGGUGGGGAUGACGUCAAAUCAUCAUGCCCCUUACGUGCUGGGCUACACACGUAAUACAAUGGUCGUUAACAAAGAGAAGCAAUACAGCGAUGUGGAGCAAAUCUCCAAAAACGAUCUCAGUUCGGACUGCAGGCUGAAACCCGCCUGCACGAAGUUGGAAUUGCUAGUAAUCGCGGAUCAGCAUGCCGCGGUGAAUACGUUCCCGGGUCU
RNAcentral lists this ribosomal RNA (1368 nucleotides) under uncultured bacterium. Its description in RNAcentral is "16S ribosomal RNA". It matches the Rfam family "Bacterial small subunit ribosomal RNA". The record is from RNAcentral.